UCAGUGAAAUUGAACUCGCUGUGAAGAUGCAGUGUACCCGCGGCAAGACGGAAAGACCCCGUGAACCUUUACUAUAGCUUGACACUGAACAUUGAGCCUUGAUGUGUAGGAUAGGUGGGAGGCUUUGAAGUGUGGACGCCAGUCUGCAUGGAGCCGACCUUGAAAUACCACCCUUUAAUGUUUGAUGUUCUAACGUUGGCCCGUAAUCCGGGUUGCGGACAGUGUCUGGUGGGUAGUUUGACUGGGGCGGUCUCCUCCUAAAGAGUAACGGAGGAGCACGAAGGUUGGCUAAUCCUGGUCGGACAUCAGGAGGUUAGUGCAAUGGCAUAAGCCAGCUUGACUGCGAGCGUGACGGCGCGAGCAGGUGCGAAAGCAGGUCAUAGUGAUCCGGUGGUUCUGAAUGGAAGGGCCAUCGCUCAACGGAUAAAAGGUACUCCGGGGAUAACAGGCUGAUACCGCCCAAGAGUUCAUAUCGACGGCGGUGUUUGGCACCUCGAUGUCGGCUCAUCACAUCCUGGGGCUGAAGUAGGUCCCAAGGGUAUGGCUGUUCGCCAUUUAAAGUGGUACGCGAGCUGGGUUUAGAACGUCGUGAGACAGUUCGGUCCCUAUCUGCCGUGGGCGCUGGAGAACUGAGGGGGGCUGCUCCUAGUACGAGAGGACCGGAGUGGACGCAUCACUGGUGUUCGGGUUGUCAUGCCAAUGGCACUGCCCGGUAGCUAAAUGCGGAAGAGAUAAGUGCUGAAAGCAUCUAAGCACGAAACUUGCCCCGAGAUGAGUUCUCCCUGACUCCUUGAGAGUCCUGAAGGAACGUUGAAGACGACGACGUUGAUAGGCCGGGUGUGUAAGCGCAGCGAUGCGUUGAGCUAACCGGUACUAAUGAACCGUGAGGCUUAACCUUACAACGCCGAAG
RNAcentral lists this ribosomal RNA (910 nucleotides) under Escherichia coli. RNAcentral's name for it is "partial 23S ribosomal RNA". It matches the Rfam family "Bacterial large subunit ribosomal RNA", at positions 2033 to 2925 of the family's 2925-position model. Lineage: Bacteria; Pseudomonadati; Pseudomonadota; Gammaproteobacteria; Enterobacterales; Enterobacteriaceae. The record is from RNAcentral.